Molecule: ribosomal RNA, 468 nt
Filed under: uncultured bacterium
Lineage: Bacteria
Description: partial 16S ribosomal RNA
Rfam family: Bacterial small subunit ribosomal RNA
Source: RNAcentral
GACGAACGCUGGCGGCGUGCUUAACACAUGCAAGUCGAACGGAAAGGCCCUGCUUUUGUUGGGUGCUCGAGUGGCGAACGGGUGAGUAUCACGUGAGUAACCUGCCCUUGACUUUGGGAUAACUUCAGGAAACUGGGGCUAAUACCCGAUAGGAGCUCCUGCUGCAUGGUGGGGGUUGGAAAGUUUCGGCGGUUGGGGCUGGACUCGCGGCCUAUCAGCUUGUUGGUGGGGUAGUGGCUUACCAAGGCUUUGACGGGUAGCCGGCCUGAGAGGGUGACCGGCCACAUUGGGACUGAGAUACGGCCCAGACUCCUACGGGAGGCAGCAGUGGGGAAUAUUGCACAAUGGGCGGAAGCCUGAUGCAGCAACGCCGCGUGCGGGAUGACGGCCUUCGGGUUGUAAACCGCUUUCGCCUGUGACGAAGCGUGAGUGACGGUAAUGGGUAAAGAAGCACCGGCUAACUACGUG